AGUGAACGCUGGCGGUAGGCCUAACACAUGCAAGUCGAACGGCAGCACAGUAAGCGCUUGCUCUUACGGGUGGCGAGUGGCGGACGGGUGAGGAAUACAUCGGCAUCUACUUUUUCGUGGGUGAUAACGUAGGGAAACUUACGCUAAUACCGCAUACGACCUACGGGUGAAAGCAGUGGAUCUUCGGACCUUUCGCGAUUGAAUGAGCCGAUGUCGGAUUAGCUAGUUGGCGGGGUAAAGGCCCACCAAGGCGACGAUCCGUAGCUGGUCUGAGAGGAUGAUCAGCCACACUGGAACUGAGACACGGUCCAGACUCCUACGGGAGGCAGCAGUGGGGAAUAUUGGACAAUGGGCGAAAGCCUGAUCCAGCCAUACCGCGUGGGUGAAGAGGGCCUUCGGGUUGUAAAGCCCCUUUGUUGGGAAAGAAAAGCAGCAGGUUAAUACCCCGAUGUUCUGACGGUACCCAAAGAAUAAGCACCGGCUAACUUCGUG
This 492-nucleotide ribosomal RNA is filed under the name uncultured bacterium. RNAcentral's name for it is "partial 16S ribosomal RNA". It matches the Rfam family "Bacterial small subunit ribosomal RNA", at positions 29 to 507 of the family's 1533-position model. The record is from RNAcentral.